UCAAUAAUUGUAAGCACGGUCUAACAGUAACAGGAUAGUUAAUAGGAUAGACCUGUUAGACCGUGAUUACCCAUCCCCAGCAAAGUCUACCUGCAGGAGGAAAGGUCAGUUUGCAUUUCCUUCACUAUCGAAGGUCACGUAGAUCAUUAGCAGGUACGACAGCCGCAAGGCUUAAGAGGUGGAGGGAUGAAACAAAAUCGUAUAAAAGGAGAAAGAAAACGCGAUUGGAAUCAGUCGAGUGAGCAUCUCCGACACGGCAACAAAUGCUGCAGCGCACUAUUUGCCACCAACUGCCUUCUUCAUCGUGUUACCAGUUCGCAAUCAUGGGCGUCGUGCUGCUGUUGGGUGUUGUACCAUUGAUGGCUGGUUUAUUUUCUCCUGGCGAGAUAUCGGGUCCCUUCAUAAAGCAACAACGAAGAAAUCAGGCGAAUGAUCAUAGUCUCAGACACGGCAACAACUGCUUUCUUUGUCGUGUUAAAACAAUUCGCAAUCAUAGUUAACUAAGAUGUCGUGCUGCUGUUGGGUGUUCUAUCUUUGUUGGCUGGGACCACCACUGGUGUACCGGUGUUUCCUGGGUAUGGUGGAUACCAAACCGCAACGCCGCCACCUUCCUAAACAACAUUACCACAACAUGCGCAGCAACCGUGUACUACACCAUCAAGGUUCCAGAGUAUUACACCAAAACUUCUUAUGUUCCGAGCUACUACACCCAAGCCACGAAUUAACUAAGGCGUCGUAGUGCUGUUGGGUGUUGUACCGUUGAUGGCUGGUUACUGUGCCCCUGGCGAGAUAUAGGGUCCCUUCAUAAAGCAACAACGAAGAAAUGAAUCGGGUGAUCAUCUCCGACACGGCAACAACUGCUUUCUUUGUCGUUUUAAAACAAUU
This 885-nucleotide long non-coding RNA is filed under the name Daphnia pulex (common water flea). RNAcentral describes it as "uncharacterized LOC124207548, transcript variant X2". The record is from RNAcentral. Lineage: Eukaryota; Metazoa; Arthropoda; Branchiopoda; Diplostraca; Daphniidae.